RNAcentral lists this long non-coding RNA (243 nucleotides) under Elaeis guineensis (African oil palm). RNAcentral's name for it is "long non-coding RNA (EGUI_LNC052937)". The record is from RNAcentral. Lineage: Eukaryota; Viridiplantae; Streptophyta; Magnoliopsida; Arecales; Arecaceae.
CUAGAGGAGGAAAUGUUGGAGGAUAUUUUGAAUAAAAAAAAACUCCAAAAAAUCUCGAAAAAAUUGAGAAAAAUAGAAAAUAAUGCGCUCGCGGAGAAACCGAACGGGCGGAAUACAGAGGAGGAAAAAUGGAAGAACAGUAAGAAAAAGAAGGGUUCCAGAACUAACCUAGGCUGGUUCGAGAGGUGUGGGAGGGUAGCGAAGGUGAUGGAGGUCAACCUGAAGGGGCACCUAAGAUCGAGA